UUUUGGCUAAAAGGCUGUUGUGAAGAGGAGCGCCCGACUGCUCCGAGGGAACGCCGCACGGUCACCAACCGCCACCAGCCGCCCCACGCCCGUUUCGCCCCGCGCGCGUUCAAACCCCCGCCCCGCGCCGCCAAGUCUCGCGAGAGCGAGCGCCAUGCCGGAACCGGGCCCGGCCCCUCCUCUUCGCCGCGCGGCCGGCGGCCUCAGCGCCGCGCACUGAGCGUGCGGCGCUGCUCGCAUCCCGGAAGCGCUUUACGGCCGCGCUCCAGGCCCCCUCCCCCUCCCCCUCUCCCUCCCUCCCCUCUGCUCGGAGACCCGGGGCCGACCGGAGAGCGCCCCCGCACCCGCAGCAGGAGCGGGGGGGGCCGCCCGGGGCGCCCCCCCUCCUACGGCCGCCGUCCCCCCUCCUACGGCCGCCGUCCCCCCUCCUACGGCCGCCGUCCCGGAGGCCCGGGGCAGAGCGAGGGGCCGGGCGGGCAUGCAGCCGCCGCCGGAGCCGAGCUCCCAGCGCAACACGGUCUGCUUCCAGGCCGUGAAGCAGCACACUCCAAAAGCUAUGGUAGCAGUGGUUCCAGAAGCUGCUCAAGGAUUAGAGGUGUGAUUACGUGAUUGCAUCUGCAGCAUGGUCACGUAGCAGGCAUGUUUACAAGGCUAUAAUCGUGUGCAGAUGCCUAUUGAACAGUAGGUAUGUGUGGGAUGGAUGCUUUUAAAAUAAAUACAUAUUUUUGUUAGGUUGAUCCUUGGCA
Molecule: long non-coding RNA, 746 nt
Filed under: Numida meleagris (helmeted guineafowl)
Lineage: Eukaryota; Metazoa; Chordata; Aves; Galliformes; Numididae
Description: lncRNA (ENSNMEG00000018450.1)
Source: RNAcentral